Long non-coding RNA from Leptidea sinapis, 1240 nucleotides. RefSeq lists it as uncharacterized. The record is from RefSeq and is a predicted model, not a curated record. Lineage: Eukaryota; Metazoa; Arthropoda; Insecta; Lepidoptera; Pieridae. The transcript is spliced from 2 exons.
GCGAAAACGUCAGUGCUCACAAUAGAAUAUGGCGGCGAUUUAUGACGUCAUAUAUUUCCCUAGGGUACUGCGGUAGUAUUCUGGUAGUCCAUAAUGGAACGAAUUUUUCUACAGUGUGAGCACUGUGCAGUGCUCGCAGUGCAUAUCGGAACAUACCCUUGAUGUGCAGUGUUUCAAAUUGGGCUUCCAAUUAAAUUAUUUAUAUUUUUAUUUUGGUGCAAUGGCUACUUAAUCAUAGACAUAUAACUCAUAAUAGAAGCAAAGACAAUUAAUUCUAUGAUUUUUAUUUUAUUAAUUGAAUUAUGAGUUACUUAGACUAUACAUAAUUAUGAAAUAUUUGUAGUGAAUACUAAAAGAAACCCAAAAGAAAUUAUGUAAAAAUAUCAAAUUAAAUAUCACUUAAACCCCACCAAUACUAAUAUCAAACCUUAGAUUAAGGUUUGGUCUCCGCUGCGCUCCAACUAGAUACCGCAUUCGCAGUCGCAAAGUACGGCAACUAAUACUAUGCCUUGAACUAUGUGUGAUGUUGACAUGCCACAUGUUCUGUUAAACUUUGAAACUAAAAUACCGGGUUGCAUAGUAAAAGUUUGUAAAAAUAAUACUACAAGAAAUAAGAAAGACACUGGAAUCACAUAUAAUCAGUGAGCAUUUUGUAUUUUAUUAAUUUCGAUGUAAAUUAUCAUGAAGUGUAUGUUACAAAAUUUUAGUGUCAAGAUGUCACACACACAAGUCUAAACCUAAUAGUUGCCGUAGUAGAAAAACUAUUGUUCUCUGUAGUGUGGUAUUGAGUUGGAUCACAGCGGAGACUAAUCCCUAUUCUAUUUAUAGAAACAUUAACCUGACAUCGUAAUAUGUAUUUUAGUUCUUGUACAGGUAGUGCCAUUGUUAUAAAGUUGUUUUAGAUCACACAUCAUAUCUCAGUACUUAGACUAAUUAAACUGUGAAUUGUACAUGAUCAUAGUCAUGCUUACUUAUAGUGAUAGAAAAGUAAUGGAAUAGUAUUAAUUUCUUAUAAUGAUAGACAAACUGCUGACGAGUAGUAGUACUUUAUAGUUUAUUUUAAUGAUUUUAGUUUUGUAGAUGGAUUUUUGAUUAUAUAAUAUUAUGUUAAAUUUUCAGAAAUAAUAUUCUUGUACUACUUACAAAGAUUGUUAGAGACUGCAUUAUAAAUUUAUAAUAUUAACUAUUACAAUCGCCAAUAACAAAUAUGUAAUGUUUUAAUAAAUUUAAGUGCACAUAU